AUUAUCUAAAUCCUUGUAAACUUUUUUUUUUUAUUAGUGUUAAUUUGUGUUACAACGGGUUAUGUGUGCUUCACACUUAUAAGCGUUUUAAAGUUUAUUUUGAUUGUCAAUUGGUGGCAAGAAUUUAAACAAUUCAGGCAAAAUAUGGUCACUCAACUAAAGAAUUUCAUCGUUAUUUUUGUAUUGGUAUACAUAAAUAAGCACAACAGUGCUCAGGGAAUAUUAAGUAAACACCGAGGCUGUAUCAAUGGGUGGUACUCAGGACCCUCCGCCCGCGGCGAAUCAUUCUGAAGGGUUGACGCGACGAAGCGGCAAAAGCGCUGUCAAGUGCUGCAACCAUUGACUACACAACAAUAACGUCUAAUAGCAGGGGCGCUUGUCGACGCUUUUUUGAACCUGAGCCUUGUAAAAUGCUGACGUGGAGCGUAGAUUGUAAACGUGUUUAUUCCGCUUUUAAUUCUGAACACAUUUUAUACAUGCUAGUAACUAUAAUUAUUUUUUGUAACGAUCAGUGUAGUUUUAUAGUGUUUUAUUGUAAAUUAAAUUUAAUUGCAUUUUUUGGGCAAUGACGAUGCAUCAUUUAAGUACCUACCUGCCUAUAUAAAACAUAAAAUACUUUUAUGAACGUAUAAUAUAUUUCUUGGUUCUCUUUCUCUUCUUCCCGAUAAACGGUCUUAAUCCAUAAUAUAUUUAGAAAUACAAAAAUAAGUAAUAAGAAUUAAGUUUAAUCAUUACGCGUACAAAAUAUUUAGUAAUUGUAUAUUUAUUUUGUUUAUUUUUUCGGGAUGGGUCUAUAGAUGAAGACCUUUGUAAUAAUUAUCUUUAUUACAUUCUAAAACGCACAAUACACUUCUACUUUAACAUUAAUGCAAUCGCCAAAAGGCAAAUAUUUUUAAACCACAUACACUUAACACAGGAGUUUUUAAUUAAUUCCCCACGAACAAUUACGUUUUAUUAACAUGUAAAGUGGGAAAUGUUCAAAUAAUGAAACGUGAACAAUGGGGAAUACAUCGCUGGUUUAACGCAUAUAAAACAUUUUAACGGGAAAUCCAUUUUUAUAUUAAAGUUGGAAUGUAGGCCAUUUUUUAUAGUCUCGACACAUUGUACACAAUUGGAAGUUUAAUUAAAAACACUACUACUAACAAGAUGUUUGUUUAUUUGGAUUUGCGAUUGGCUUACAAUGUAACUGAUUAUUGUUAUCAUUAAAGCAGCGAGAUGUGUAUCAUUAUAGAAUGUGUUAGAUCUAGAGAUGUCCGUGAAGCUCUGAGAAGAACUCCUAACAAAAACCGUAAAGAUAUCGGCAUCUUCCAAAUGUUCUCUCGAAUUCUCAAUUUGAUGGAGCUGCUCUUUUAUUUACAAUGUUGUAAGUAAUAUGGAAAUGAUUUAUACUAUGUUUUUACUAUGGAAUUGGCACGGCUUCCGAAGGGACUCAAAGCCUCUAAAGAAAUAAAGAACAAAAAUAAUUCAAGAGUGUGCAAGGAUGUUUCAAAAGAACGUCUUUCUCUUUUCCAUAGCAUAUCGUUUUGUACUUCGAUACCCUGGUGAUUAUCAUGUGUCUAACCCUUUUCCUUUACAAUGUUUUUUGCUUCAUAAGCCAUUAAUGAAUUAUCGCAAGUUUGAACCCCUUCCUUUAUAAAUUCUAAUAAUGGAAAAAAUAUUGAAAGUCUUUGUUUGAUACUGGAAUGUAGCAUGUAAUUAAAAUACCAAAAUGAAUACUAGAAAUUUUGUAAGAAUUUACUUUUUAAGUGGGUAAUAUUCUCCUGAUGUAAAAUAAAAAAAAAAAUCACUUCAACAGAAAAGCAAACAAGUUGUAUUAUACAAGUUGAAUAGAAAUGUUGUGGACAGUGAAUGGUUCUUAGAGAACUAAAGUAGCCACUGCUCUGAAUGCAAUACUACAAUAGUGCAUUCUGUGAAGAAAUGUAACAAAUGAAAUAUUCGAAGGUAAAUGGCACUAUAUGACAAUGUAUUACUAUAUUUAAAUGUAUUUUUAACUGAAUUCAAAACGAGGAGGUUCUCUAUUUAACUAUAUGUUUAAAUAUAUACAAUUAUUAAUUUCAAUCGUUCAGGAACCAUUUGAAAUAAAGUUAUAUUGAGAA
Molecule: long non-coding RNA, 2096 nt
Filed under: Manduca sexta (tobacco hornworm)
Lineage: Eukaryota; Metazoa; Arthropoda; Insecta; Lepidoptera; Sphingidae
Description: uncharacterized LOC119189549
Source: RNAcentral